RNAcentral lists this ribosomal RNA (498 nucleotides) under uncultured bacterium. Its description in RNAcentral is "partial 16S ribosomal RNA". It matches the Rfam family "Bacterial small subunit ribosomal RNA", at positions 28 to 523 of the family's 1533-position model. The record is from RNAcentral.
GAUGAACGCUAGCGGCAGGCCUAAUACAUGCAAGUCGAACGAUACUUUCCAGCUUGCUGGAGAGGAAAGUGGCGCACGGGUGCGUAACGCGUAUGCAACCUACCUUAAUCAGGGGGAUAGCCCGAAGAAAUUCGGAUUAACACCGCAUAAAAUCACAGUAUAGCAUUAUACAAUGAUCAAAUAUUUAUAGGAUUAAGAUGGGCAUGCGUGACAUUAGUUAGUUGGCGGGGUAACGGCCCACCAAGACCACGAUGUCUAGGGGAUCGGAGAGGAUGACCCCCCACACUGGUACUGAGACACGGACCAGACUCCUACGGGAGGCAGCAGUAAGGAAUAUUGGUCAAUGGAGGCAACUCUGAACCAGCCAUGCCGCGUGCAGGAAGACAGCCCUCUGGGUCGUAAACUGCUUUUAUUCGGGAAUAAACCUAUCUACGUGUAGAUAGCUGAAUGUACCGAAGGAAUAAGGAUCGGCUAACUCCGUGCCAGCAGCAGCCGCAG